AGUUUCCGAUUUGCCACCUUCGACCCCUUAGCGAACAUUUCGCGUUUCCCGAAAAUCCGUCCAUCGGAUUUUCGAUCCGACAGCGCCAUCGCGUUCAGCACGACGGAGACAACAAAGCUGUGAUUUCGCUUCACCUCGAUCAACCACGGAUUCACGACACAAUCCAAUCUUCUUUCCAACAUAAGAAAAUAACACCUAAAUACAUAUAAAACAUGUAUUUUUGGAUUUUCUCGAAAUCCGUGCGUCAAACUCAAAAUCCAACAGCGCCAAUGGUUCCAGAAUAGCUGAACCGGUCGAAACGAGCUAUUGGAUCGCUAUGAACGGAGUCCGAUACGCGUAGAAAGCCAACUCUACUCCGUGGCUUCACCGAAAAACCGGAGUUACUAUUCACUUAAGUGAAAUUUAAAAAUCGCGUAACUUCUCCAUUUUAGCUCAUUUUCUCCUGAAACUUGACGAGUGCUUAUGUAAUUAAAUUACACACAUAAACAUCGUCAACAGAGAGUUUAGUUGCACUGUAAAAAUCUCAGUCCUUACAUUAACUUACUUAUUUUUGAACUCCAAUAUUUCUGAUAUAUCAGUAUUGAUCAUCAUCUUGGUUGCAUAAAGAAAAUUUGAUAUACUACGUGUACCUAUGUUGCCCAUAGAUAUACAAUAAUUAAUAUAAUUACUAAGAAUAUAAAUAAUAUCCAAAAUUUGAAUAAAUGAGAUACCUGCAAAGUCUUUUAUCUUGCACCAUUGCAUUAUAAUUAUGACCGGCCUUCAUCCCCUACUUGUUUAUAAGUAUGAAGUUCUUCAGCAAACUUUCCCCACAAUGUGCAAC
Molecule: long non-coding RNA, 820 nt
Filed under: Ananas comosus (pineapple)
Lineage: Eukaryota; Viridiplantae; Streptophyta; Magnoliopsida; Poales; Bromeliaceae
Description: long non-coding RNA (ACOM_LNC002603)
Source: RNAcentral